RNAcentral lists this unclassified non-coding RNA (249 nucleotides) under Ascomycota sp. RNAcentral describes it as "partial contains small subunit ribosomal RNA, internal transcribed spacer 1, and 5.8S ribosomal RNA". The stretch from base 1 to 47 matches the Rfam family "Eukaryotic small subunit ribosomal RNA", at positions 1785 to 1831 of the family's 1831-position model. Lineage: Eukaryota; Fungi; Ascomycota. The record is from RNAcentral.
AAAGUCGUAACAAGGUUUCCGUAGGUGAACCUGCGGAAGGAUCAUUAACGAGUAACGGGUCCUUCUGGGCUCGCACUCCAACCCUUUGUUUACCUGCUCUGUGCCUCGGCAGGGUGCCUUUCAGGUACACCUGCCGGGAGAGAGGCCGCGACAGACAUGCAGCUUCUGCCAAUUAAACUCUGUAAAACUUAAGAGUCUGAUUUAAAAUAUAUGGAAUUAAAACUUUCAACAACGGAUCUCUUGGUUCUG